CCCUUCUUAGUUUAGUGGCUAGAACGUUCGGCUGUAGACCGAAAGGUCCCCGGUUCAAAUCCGGGAGAGGGGA
RNAcentral lists this transfer RNA (73 nucleotides) under archaeon. RNAcentral's name for it is "tRNA-Tyr". It matches the Rfam family "tRNA". From Rfam's summary of the family: Transfer RNA (tRNA) molecules are approximately 80 nucleotides in length. The record is from RNAcentral.